UGGCUCAGAGGUUAAAGCGUCUGCCUGGAAUGCAGGAGACCCGGGUUUGAUCCCUGG
Ovis aries (sheep) is the source of this 57-nucleotide transfer RNA. It matches the Rfam family "tRNA", at positions 8 to 63 of the family's 71-position model. From Rfam's summary of the family: Transfer RNA (tRNA) molecules are approximately 80 nucleotides in length. The record is from Rfam. Lineage: Eukaryota; Metazoa; Chordata; Mammalia; Artiodactyla; Bovidae.